Molecule: unclassified non-coding RNA, 380 nt
Filed under: uncultured Alphaproteobacteria bacterium
Lineage: Bacteria; Pseudomonadati; Pseudomonadota; Alphaproteobacteria
Description: contains 16S-23S intergenic spacer region
Source: RNAcentral
UCUCGGCUUAUCACCGGCAGUCCCCUUAGAGUGCCCAACUGAAUGCUGGCAACUAAGGGCGAGGGUUGCGCUCGUUGCGGGACUUAACCCAACAUCUCACGACACGAGCUGACGACAGCCAUGCAGCACCUGUCUCCGAUCCAGCCGAACUGAAGGAUACGAUCUCUGGUGCCCGCGAUCGGGAUGUCAAAGGUUGGUAAGGUUCUGCGCGUUGCUUCGAAUUAAUCCACAUAAUCCACCGCUUGUGCGGGUCCCCGUCAAUUCCUUUGAGUUUUAAUCUUGCGACCGUACUCCCCAGGCGGGAUGCUUAAAGCGUUAGCUGCGCCACUGACGAGCAAGCUCGCCAACGGCUAGCAUCCAUCGUUUACGGCGUGGACUAC